AUUGAACGCUGGCGGAAUGCUUUACACAUGCAAGUCGAACGGCAGCACGGACUUCGGUCUGGUGGCGAGUGGCGAACGGGUGAGUAAUACAGCGCAACGUGCCCAGUCGUGGGGGAUAACGUAGCGAAAGCUACGCUAAUACCGCAUACGAUCUAAGGAUGAAAGCGGGGGAUCGCAAGACCGCGCGCGAUUCGAGCGGACGAUGGGAGAUUAGGUAGUUGGUGGGGUAAAGGCUAACCAAGCCGACGAUCUGUAGCUGGUCUGAGAGGACAACCAGCAACACUGGGACUGAGACACGGCCCGACCUCCUACGGGAGGCAGCAGUGGGGAAUUUUGGACAAUGGGCGCAAGCCUGACCCAGCCAUUCCGCGUGCAGGAUGAAGGCCCUCGGGUUGUAAACUGCUUUUGUACGGAACGAAAAGGCUCUGGUUAAUACCCGGGGGUCAUGACGGUACCGUAAGAAUAAGCACCGGCUAACUACGUGCCAGCAGCCGCCGUAA
This 500-nucleotide ribosomal RNA is filed under the name uncultured bacterium. RNAcentral describes it as "partial 16S ribosomal RNA". It matches the Rfam family "Bacterial small subunit ribosomal RNA", at positions 29 to 523 of the family's 1533-position model. The record is from RNAcentral.